RNAcentral lists this ribosomal RNA (258 nucleotides) under uncultured bacterium. RNAcentral describes it as "partial 16S ribosomal RNA". It matches the Rfam family "Bacterial small subunit ribosomal RNA", at positions 524 to 777 of the family's 1533-position model. The record is from RNAcentral.
UACGUAGGGUGCAAGCGUUGUCCGGAAUUAUUGGGCGUAAAGAGCUUGUAGGCGGUUUGUCGCGUCUGCUGUGAAAUUUCGGGGCUCAACCCCGAACUUGCAGUGGGUACGGGCAGGACUAGAGUGUGGUAGGGGAGACGUGGAAGUUCCUGGUGUAGCGGUGAAAUGCGCAGAUAAUCAGGAGGAACACCGAUGGCGAAGGCAGGUCUCUGGGCCAUAACUGACGCUGAGAAGCGAAAGCAUGGGGAGCGAACAGGA